UGCAGUCGAGCGACAGAUGAGAAGCUUGCUUCUCUGAUGUUAGCGGCGGACGGGUGAGUAACACGUGGGUAACCUACCUAUAAGACUGGGAUAACUCCGGGAAACCGGGGCUAAUACCGGAUAAUAUUUUGAACCGCAUGGUUCAAUAGUGAAAGACGGUUUCGGCUGUCACUUAUAGAUGGACCCGCGCCGUAUUAGCUAGUUGGUAAGGUAACGGCUUACCAAGGCGACGAUACGUAGCCGACCUGAGAGGGUGAUCGGCCACACUGGAACUGAGACACGGUCCAGACUCCUACGGGAGGCAGCAGUAGGGAAUCUUCCGCAAUGGGCGAAAGCCUGACGGAGCAACGCCGCGUGAGUGAUGAAGGUCUUCGGAUCGUAAAACUCUGUUGUUAGGGAAGAACAAAUUUGUUAGUAACUGAACAAGUCUUGACGGUACCUAACCAGAAAGCCACGGCUAACUACGUGCCAGCAGCCGCGGUAAUACGUAGGUGGCAAGCGUUAUCCGGAAUUAUUGGGCGUAAAGCGCGCGUAGGCGGUUUCUUAAGUCUGAUGUGAAAGCCCACGGCUCAACCGUGGAGGGUCAUUGGAAACUGGGAAACUUGAGUGCAGAAGAGGAGAGUGGAAUUCCAUGUGUAGCGGUGAAAUGCGCAGAGAUAUGGAGGAACACCAGUGGCGAAGGCGGCUCUCUGGKCUGUAACUGACGCUGAUGUGCGAAAGCGUGGGGAUCAAACAGGAUUAGAUACCCUGGUAGUCCACGCCGUAAACGAUGAGUGCUAAGUGUUAGGGGGUUUCCG
RNAcentral lists this ribosomal RNA (797 nucleotides) under uncultured bacterium. RNAcentral describes it as "bacterial SSU rRNA". It matches the Rfam family "Bacterial small subunit ribosomal RNA", at positions 56 to 836 of the family's 1533-position model. The record is from RNAcentral.